Molecule: ribosomal RNA, 253 nt
Filed under: uncultured bacterium
Lineage: Bacteria
Description: partial 16S ribosomal RNA
Rfam family: Bacterial small subunit ribosomal RNA
Source: RNAcentral
UACGUAGGUGGCGAGCGUUAUCCGGAAUGAUUGGGCGUAAAGGGUGCGUAGGCGGCCUGCUAAGUCUGAAGUGAAAGGCAAGGGCUCAACCUUUGGACUGCUUUGGAAACUGUGCAGCUAGAGUGUCGGAGAGGCAAGUGGAAUUCCUAGUGUAGCGGUGAAAUGCGUAGAUAUUAGGAGGAACACCAGUGGCGAAGGCGGCUUGCUGGACGAUGACUGACGUUGAGGCUCGAAAGCGUGGGGAGCAAACAGG